UAUUAGCUUGUCCCAUUAUGGCUCC
RNAcentral lists this non-coding RNA (25 nucleotides) under Mus musculus (house mouse). The record is from RNAcentral. Lineage: Eukaryota; Metazoa; Chordata; Mammalia; Rodentia; Muridae.